UGAAUAGCUCAGUCCACAGAGCAUGAGACUCUUAAUCUCUCAGGGUUGUGGGUUCAAGCCCCAUUGGGAGAA
RNAcentral lists this transfer RNA (72 nucleotides) under Podarcis lilfordi (Lilford's wall lizard). RNAcentral's name for it is "tRNA.Lys". The stretch from base 4 to 65 matches the Rfam family "tRNA", at positions 7 to 64 of the family's 71-position model. Rfam says of the family: Transfer RNA (tRNA) molecules are approximately 80 nucleotides in length. Their secondary structure includes four short double-helical elements and three loops (D, anti-codon, and T loops). The record is from RNAcentral. Lineage: Eukaryota; Metazoa; Chordata; Lepidosauria; Squamata; Lacertidae.